This 868-nucleotide ribosomal RNA is filed under the name uncultured Sphingobacteriia bacterium. Its description in RNAcentral is "bacterial SSU rRNA". It matches the Rfam family "Bacterial small subunit ribosomal RNA", at positions 58 to 924 of the family's 1533-position model. The record is from RNAcentral. Lineage: Bacteria; Pseudomonadati; Bacteroidota; Sphingobacteriia.
CAAGUCGUGGGGCAGCGCGGGUAGCAAUACCUGGCGGCGACCGGCAAACGGGUGCGGAACACGUACGCAACCUUCCUUUAAGCGGUGAAUAGCCCAGGGAAACUUGGAUUAAUACACCAUAAGACAGUGGGGUGGCAUCACUCAGCUGUUAAAGCUCCGGCACUUAAAGAUGGGCGUGCGGCUGAUUAGGUAGUUGGCGGGGUAACGGCCCACCAAGCCGACGAUCAGUAACUGGUGUGAGAGCACGACCAGUCACACGGGCACUGAGACACGGGCCCGACUCCUACGGGAGGCAGCAGUAAGGAAUAUUGGUCAAUGGACGCAAGUCUGAACCAGCCAUGCCGCGUGGAGGAUGAAGGCCCUCUGGGUUGUAAACUUCUUUUAUCUGGGAAGAAACCGGACUUUUCUAAGGCCGUUGACGGUACCAGAUGAAUAAGCACCGGCUAACUCCGUGCCAGCAGCCGCGGUAAUACGGAGGGUGCAAGCGUUAUCCGGAUUCACUGGGUUUAAAGGGUGCGUAGGUGGGCAGGUAAGUCAGUGGUGAAAUCUCCGGGCUUAACCCGGAAACUGCCGUUGAUACUAUCUGUCUUGAAUGUAGUGGAGGUGAGCGGAAUAUGUCAUGUAGCGGUGAAAUGCUUAGAUAUGACAUAGAACACCCAUUGCGAAGGCAGCUCGCUACACUAUUAUUGACACUGAGGCACGAAAGCGUGGGGAUCAAACAGGAUUAGAUACCCUGGUAGUCCACGCCCUAAACGAUGGAUACUCGACAUCAGCGAUACACAGUUGGUGUCUGAGCGAAAGCAUUAAGUAUCCCACCUGGGAAGUACGACCGCAAGGUUGAAACUCAAAGGAAUUGACGGGGGUCCGC